CAGUAGCCGCGGGAAUACGAAGGGGGCUAGCGUUGUUCGGAAUUACUGGGCGUAAAGCGCACGUAGGCGGAUAUUUAAGUCAGGGGUGAAAUCCCAGAGCUCAACUCUGGAACUGCCUUUGAUACUGGGUAUCUUGAGUAUGGAAGAGGUGAGUGGAAUUCCGAGUGUAGAGGUGAAAUUCGUAGAUAUUCGGAGGAACACCAGUGGCGAAGGCGGCUAACUGGUCCAUAACUGACGCUGAGGUGCGAAAGCGUGGGGAGCAAACAGGAUUAGAUACCCCUGUAGUCCCUGUCUCUUAUAC
This 301-nucleotide ribosomal RNA is filed under the name uncultured bacterium. RNAcentral's name for it is "partial 16S ribosomal RNA". It matches the Rfam family "Bacterial small subunit ribosomal RNA", at positions 509 to 807 of the family's 1533-position model. The record is from RNAcentral.